CCCUACACUACCUCUUUGAGUCUAGAUGCUUGUUUCCCUUGGCUUUUAACAGGUAUGGGAAAGCAAAAAUGGUGUGUUUUCAAUCAUAUUUUAUAUAUAUUAUAUAUAUUGUAUAUUAUAUAUAUAUAUUAUAUAUAAGCCAAGGGAAACAAGCACCCAGACUCAAAGAGGUAGUGUAGGG
Molecule: non-coding RNA, 181 nt
Organism: Podarcis lilfordi (Lilford's wall lizard)
Lineage: Eukaryota; Metazoa; Chordata; Lepidosauria; Squamata; Lacertidae
Source: the annotation of a GenBank genome assembly